RNAcentral lists this ribosomal RNA (740 nucleotides) under uncultured Candidatus Poseidoniales archaeon. RNAcentral describes it as "bacterial SSU rRNA". It matches the Rfam family "Archaeal small subunit ribosomal RNA", at positions 102 to 856 of the family's 1478-position model. The record is from RNAcentral. Lineage: Archaea; Methanobacteriati; Thermoplasmatota; Candidatus Poseidoniia; Candidatus Poseidoniales.
GGAUAACCUGCCCUAUCGUCUGGAAUAACCUCGGGAAACUGAGAAUAAGGCCGGAUAGUUCACAAAGCCUGGAACGGUUUGUGAAUCAAGGUAGGAUGGGUCUGCGGCGUAUCAGGUAGUAGGGGGUGUAAAGGACCCCCUAGCCUUCGACGCGUACGGGUGUUGGGAGACAUAGCCUGGAGAUGGAUUCUGAGACACGAAUCCAGACCCUACGGGGUGCAGCAGGCGCGAAAACUUCACACUGCAGGAAACUGUGAUGAGGGAACUCCAAGUGUGUGCACUAUGUGUACACUUUUAUGAACUUUUAAUCGGUUCAGGAAUAAGGGCUGGGAAAGACCGGUGCCAGCCGCCGCGGUAAUACCGGCAGCUCAAGUGGUCGUCGCUUUUAUUGGGCCUAAAACGUCCGUAGCCUGUUUGGUAAAUCUGUGGGUAAAUCAACUCGCUCAACGAGUUGAAUUCUGCAGAGACUGCCAGACUAGGGACCGGGAGAGGUGUGGGGUACUCGAGGGGUAGGGGUAAAAUCCUGUCAUCCUUCGAGGACCACCAGUUGCGAAGGCGCCACACUGGAACGGAUCCGACGGUCAGGGACGAAGCCUAGGGGCACGAACCGGAUUAGAUACCCGGGUAGUCCUAGGUGUAAACGCUGUGAACUUGGUGUCGGGGGUCCGCAAGGGGUCCCCGGUGCCGGAGUGAAGAUGUUAAGUUCACUGCCUGGGGAGUACGGUCGCAAGGCUGAAACU